Molecule: long non-coding RNA, 238 nt
Filed under: Salvia miltiorrhiza (redroot sage)
Lineage: Eukaryota; Viridiplantae; Streptophyta; Magnoliopsida; Lamiales; Lamiaceae
Description: long non-coding RNA (SMIL_LNC004210)
Source: RNAcentral
CGGCAGCAGCGACAUUCCAGAUUUCAUGGCUCGUUUUUGGGUCUGCGAUGAAGAGAGAGAACAACGCCGGUGAACAGCCAAGGAAGAAGGCGGCGCUGCUAUCUUGGAGAAAAAAGAGAGACGAGAUCGAGAGGGAGGAGAACGCCGGGCUUAGGCGCGGCGGCAGUCGACGCCGGCCGGAGACGGAGGCGGCGUUUCGCCGAAGAAGAAGGGAGAGGCGCCGCUUGUUUCAGUGUGU